GACGAACGCUGGCGGCGUGCCUAAUACAUGCAAGUAGAACGCUGAAGGAGGAGCUUGCUUCUCUGGAUGAGUUGCGAACGGGUGAGUAACGCGUAGGUAACCUGCCUGGUAGCGGGGGAUAACUAUUGGAAACGAUAGCUAAUACCGCAUAAGAGUAGAUGUUGCAUGACAUUUACUUAAAAGGUGCAAUUGCAUCACUACCAGAUGGACCUGCGUUGUAUUAGCUAGUUGGUGAGGUAACGGCUCACCAAGGCAACGAUACAUAGCCGACCUGAGAGGGUGAUCGGCCACACUGGGACUGAGACACGGCCCAGACUCCUACGGGAGGCAGCAGUAGGGAAUCUUCGGCAAUGGACGGAAGUCUGACCGAGCAACGCCGCGUGAGUGAAGAAGGUUUUCGGAUCGUAAAGCUCUGUUGUAAGAGAAGAACGAGUGUGAGAGUGGAAAGUCCACACUGUGACGGUAUCUUACCAGAAAGGGACGGCUAACUACGUG
RNAcentral lists this ribosomal RNA (495 nucleotides) under uncultured bacterium. Its description in RNAcentral is "partial 16S ribosomal RNA". It matches the Rfam family "Bacterial small subunit ribosomal RNA", at positions 28 to 507 of the family's 1533-position model. The record is from RNAcentral.